AAUAGAUACCCAGGUAGUCCACGCCGUAAACGAUGAGUGCUAGGUGUUAGGGGGUUCGCCCCUUAGUGCCGAAGUUAACACAUUAAGCACUCCGCCUGGGGGAGUACGGGUCGCAAGACUGAAACUCAAAGGAAUUGACGGGGGCCCGCACAAGCGGUGGAGCAUGUGGUUUAAUUCGAAGCAACGCGAAGAACCUUACUAGGGCUUGACAUCCCUCUGACACACCUAGAGAUAGGUGCUCCCUUCGGGACAGAGGUGGCAGGUGGUGCAUGGUUGUCGUCAGCUCGUGUCGUGAGAUGUUGGGUUAAGUCCCGCAACGAGCGCAACCCUUGUCCUUAGUUGCCAGCAUUGAGUUGGGCACUCUAGGGAGACUGCCGGUGACAAACCGGAGGAAGGUGGGGAUGACGUCAAAUCAUCAUGCCCCUUAUGUCCUGGGCUACACACGUGCUACAAUGGCUGGUACAAAGGGCAGCGAACCCGCGAGGGGGAGCCGAAUCCCAAAAAGCCAGUCACAGUUCGGAUUGUAGGCUGCAACUCGCCUA
This 542-nucleotide ribosomal RNA is filed under the name uncultured bacterium. Its description in RNAcentral is "bacterial SSU rRNA". It matches the Rfam family "Bacterial small subunit ribosomal RNA", at positions 777 to 1318 of the family's 1533-position model. The record is from RNAcentral.